AGUGGCUCUACCCUUUGAACUGCCCGCCCCGGGCCGGGCCCCAGGAACGUAUGAGAGUUCUCGUUGCUCUAUGACCUCAUCAGCAUUUGGUGGUGUCAGUGUUGUGGAUUUUGGCCAUUCUAAUAGGAGUAUAGUGGUAUCUUGUUUUAAUUUGCAUUUCCCUGAUGAUAUCUAAUGUGGAGCAUCUUUUCAUGUGCUUAUUUUCCAUCUGUGUAUCUUCUUUGGUGAGGUAUCUGUUAAGGUCUUUGGCCUAUUUUUAAAUUGAGCUGUUCGUUUUUUAUUGUUGAGUUUUAACUGUUCUUUGUAUAUUUUGGAUAACAGUCCUUUAUCUAUAUCUUGUAAAUAUUUUCUCCCAGUCUGAGUUGUCUUUCAUUCUCUUGAACUCUUUCUUAUUUUCAUUGCAAUUUGUUGAAAAAACUAGGUUGUUUGUCCUACAAAGUUUCCCAUAUCAUGGGUUUUGCUAAUUGCAUCCCUGUGGUGGUGUUUAAUAUGUAUCACUGUUUUGUUUUGGUUUUGGUAAAUUGAUAGUAAGAUCUAGAGGCUUCACCAGGUUCAGAUUUUAACAUUUUGUUUUUAUUUUGCAAGAAUAGUUCAUAAGUGGUGUAUACUUCAAUCAGGAGGCAUAUAUGUCUAGUGUCUGUUACUAUCAGCCAUUUGUUGACCGUCACCUAGACUCAUCAUUUUAAUAGGGGUUACAAAAUAGUGAUGUUUUUAUUUGGCUAGAAUACUUACCUAAAGAAAGAUUUCCCCUCAUCAACUAUGUGGGUACCUUGAGGUAUAGUUCAUCCAGGAGAGUCACAAAAAAUACUUGAUUCUUUCCCUUUAUUUACCAGUUUUCGAUAUAAUGAGUAGAUUCCCUAGCAUCCUCCAAACGUGACAAUGAAGUUUGUUUUGUUUUUUAAAGUACUGUCAACUCUUGGAUUUAAACACCUUUGAUGGUUUUCAGUCCACUGAAAUUAUUAUCCUUAUCAAAGCUCACAUUGUCCCAUUUCUGGCCAGUGGAAGCCUCUCUUCAAUUUUAGCUCUUGAGUCCUGUUUAUACAACCCCAGUCAUCUUUGAUAGCUUCCUUGCUUUCUGGUAUAACAAGAUGUCCCAUCCCUGAACCCACCAUUUCUCUAAAUAGCUGAGGAGAUGAGUUUUAAUCAGGAGCUUGUCUGGUUUUACCUGCCAACCUCAUCCUUGCCCAUAAACCUUCGUUAAUUCAAUUGCUGAUCAUUUUCUGCAGUUCCAGGGCAAGCUUCUGUGGCCACCUUGAGAGGCAGGGAUACCUACUGCUCUUGUUACUGAACCGGGUUUGUUUUUGCCCACCGCCCAGAAAGCCAAACACCGAGACGACAAGAUUGCAACAGAGAGAGAGUUUACUCACAAGGCAGCCACGUGAGCAAAAAAAAAAAGGAAAAGAAAAAGAACACCCAUCUCCCCUCAUGAAGCAGCAGCAUUUGUAGGCACAGUGUGGUCUAAAUCCAUUCUUGGAAAAUAAAUUUACCAAAGGAAACAUUCUGCAUGCAGAGAGGGGACAGCCCUGUUGUUAACUCUGGUGCACUCCGCUUCAGCGGCCCGGGUUCGCUGGUUCAGAUCCCAGACGUGGACCUACACCACUUGUCAAGCCAGGCUGUGGUGGUGAUCCACAUAAAAAAGAGAGGAGGAUUGACACAGAUCUGUAUCUUCCUCAAGCAAAAAAUGAGGAAGAUUGACAACAGAUGUUGGCUCAGAGAGAAUCUUCCUCACCAAAGAAAAAAAAUUGCUUUCCAGAAAGAUAUAUCAAUUUAUAUUUUCACCAUCAGCAUUCUAUUAGUACAACUGAGGAGGGGCAUCUUUUUACACAGUUAAUGGCCAUUUAUUUUUCUUCUGUGAAUUGCCUUCUCCUUUCUACCUAUUUUUCUAUUGUGUUAUUUGGUUUUUCCUUAUAUUUUUGUAAAAGUUCAUGCAUCUGUUCAUUAAUUCAUUAAGC
Molecule: long non-coding RNA, 1952 nt
Organism: Equus caballus (horse)
Lineage: Eukaryota; Metazoa; Chordata; Mammalia; Perissodactyla; Equidae
Source: Ensembl